RNAcentral lists this ribosomal RNA (414 nucleotides) under uncultured bacterium. RNAcentral's name for it is "bacterial SSU rRNA". It matches the Rfam family "Bacterial small subunit ribosomal RNA", at positions 28 to 420 of the family's 1533-position model. The record is from RNAcentral.
GACGAACGCUGGCGGCGUGCUUAACACAUGCAAGUCGAACGAGAAGAGAUGAGAAGCUUGCUUCUUAUUGAUUCGAGUGGCAAACGGGUGAGUAACGCGUAAGCAACCUGCCCUUCAGAUGGGGGACAACAGCUGGAAACGGCUGCUAAUACCGAAUACGUUCUUUUGUCGCAUGGCAGAGGGAAGAAAGGGAGGCUCUUCGGAGCUUUCGCUGAAGGAGGGGCUUGCGUCUGAUUAGCUAGUUGGAGGGGUAACGGCCCACCAAGGCGACGAUCAGUAGCCGGUCUGAGAGGAUGAACGGCCACAUUGGGACUGAGACACGGUCCAGACUCCUACGGGAGGCAGCAGUGGGGAAUCUUCCGCAAUGGGCGAAAGCCUGACGGAGCAACGCCGCGUGAGUGAUGACGGCCUCGG